UCCAGACUCCUACGGGAGGCAGCAGUGGGGGAUAUUGCACAAUGGGGGGAACCCUGAUGCAGCGACGCCGCGUGGGUGAAGGAGCGUUUCGGCGCGUAAAGCCCUAUCGGCAGGGAAGAAGGAGGACGGUACCUGACUAAGAAGCCCCGGCUAACUACGUGCCAGCAGCCGCGGUAAUACGUAGGGGGCAAGCGUUAUCCGGAUUUACUGGGUGUAAAGGGGGCGCAGACGGCAGCGCAAGCCAGGAGUGAAAGCCCGGGGCCCAACCCCGGGACUGCUCUUGGAACUGCGCGGCUGGAGUGCAGGAGGGGCAGGCGGAAUUCCUGGUGUAGCGGUGAAAUGCGUAGAUAUCAGGAGGAACACCGGUGGCGAAGGCGGCCUGCUGGACUGCGACUGACGUUGAGGCCCGAAAGCGUGGGGAGCAAACAGGAUGAGAUACCCUCGUA
This 446-nucleotide ribosomal RNA is filed under the name uncultured bacterium. RNAcentral's name for it is "partial 16S ribosomal RNA". It matches the Rfam family "Bacterial small subunit ribosomal RNA", at positions 330 to 792 of the family's 1533-position model. The record is from RNAcentral.